AUGACGAUGGUCCUGGAUGCCUUUGCAUCCUACGUGCAAAACAUGCUCACGGAGAUGGUGAGUGAAGAGGUGCACAUGCUGCUUGGAGUCGGAGACGAGAUCAAGAAGAUGGAUGUCAAGCUUAAGGACCUCAAGAACUUCCUCGCCGACGCUGACCGGAGAAACAUCACGGACGAGAGCGUGCAGGAGUGGGCGGCCCAGCUCAAGCGUGCCAUGUACGAAGCUACCGGAAGUAUAAAGCUAGGGUGGUUACAAUGGAGAUGA
Molecule: ribosomal RNA, 264 nt
Filed under: Triticum aestivum (bread wheat)
Lineage: Eukaryota; Viridiplantae; Streptophyta; Magnoliopsida; Poales; Poaceae
Description: partial small subunit ribosomal RNA
Source: RNAcentral